UAUUUUAUGCCUUUGUUUUUCAUGGUUUUCUUUUUCAGCUUUUUUAGCCGCCCACACUAGGAGGCCGCUUCGUUACGCGCAAAAGAAAACCAAGACGAACAAAGCAGCCUCCCAUCUCGGGGGGCUUUUUUUUA
Molecule: non-coding RNA, 134 nt
Organism: Plesiomonas shigelloides 302-73
Lineage: Bacteria; Pseudomonadati; Pseudomonadota; Gammaproteobacteria; Enterobacterales; Enterobacteriaceae
Source: Rfam